Molecule: long non-coding RNA, 2749 nt
Filed under: Coffea arabica (coffee)
Lineage: Eukaryota; Viridiplantae; Streptophyta; Magnoliopsida; Gentianales; Rubiaceae
Description: long non-coding RNA (CARA_LNC000639)
Source: RNAcentral
UUACUUCUGUUUCUUGCUAUUUGUUCCAAGUUGUUUUCUUUUGUCUAUUCAGAUUUGAUCCUGUGGCCCCCCUCCCCCAAAGUUGUGCUUGCUUCUUUGAUAUAACUACUGCUCUUUAUUGAUAAGGAAGCAUGAUAAUUAAGUAUCCAAUCCAAUUGCUUUUAAUUACUUUGAUACAAGUAUGCAUAUGACCUUUACAAUUUUAUGUAAAACCAUCUAUAGUAGAAUAAUUUUGUUUGUUUUUCUGUAUAUGAACAUUCGCGUGAUAAGAAAAGUAGCUGCAAUGGGGUAUGGUUUUGCUCCCUUUUAUAAUAAGGAUCCAUGCUUUCUUUGUCCAAAAUAACAUCGUGGCAGGUGUAGAUUUGUUGAUGGGCUGAUCAUUAAAGGGGGAGCUUGUAAACUUGUAGCUCCAAUUUGGCAGGUUCUCUGCUGGAAUCCAAAUGAUUUUUGCCCAAAAUUGAUUCUUGUAUGGUGUCAUAGUACAGGCUUGUGCCUGCUUGUUGUUAACUAAGCCUGCCUCCAAACACCAUUACACUUGAUCUUCAUGUUUCCAGGUUAGGUUCAAAAGUAAAUGCACCUUCAAUCAUGUCCAGUCAUCUAAUAUAAUGCAUCAAUCAUCUUAUAAGUCAGCUAUAAACAUGACCCAUUAAAAUUGAAGCAAACAAGGAUGUUGCUACAAUGCUAUUCUCAACUGUCCCUAUUUUUGUGUUGAGGGGUUACCCAUGAUUUCAGGAUUGAGAUCCCUACAGUUCAUGACCUCAACAUGAACUCCCACCCCUCCUCCCUCUCUCACAACACUCAGACAUGAACGCAUGGAAAUGCAUAUUUAUCUUUUCCCUUCUUCCCUGGUAUACAUUGCCCUUAUAUCAUACUCUUUUCUUGAGGUCACUUGUGGGGCUGUUGAUGGGAAGCUAAGUAACAAGAUGCUUUAAAUUAAGUUUUUCAAUUAAAUUGCCAGGACAAGAAAAUUGUUGAACAUAGAUUUGAUAGCUUGGUGAUGUCAUUAGCUGUAAUUGAUUAUUGACCUGGUUGGCUGGGUACAGAUUGGUCCAUAACCUUAUGGGUGCACAGCUUGAGUGAGACCUGUGAUGACAGAGCGUCAUGGUGGAUGCUUCUAUAGGCACUCUUGGUUUGGUAUCCUGGCUAGUUCACAUUUUCAUCUUGUUUUUAUUGCUAAUUAUGUGCCUUAGGACUUUCUUCUUUUUUAAGGGCUUAUUUAUCAGAAUUUCCUGUAUUUUAAUCUACAAAAGAAAAUUAUAUUUGCUUGUAGAUGAUAAAAAGUUGUUUUACGUUUGUUUUUAUUUGAAACGAGUACGUACCGAUACUAUUGAUAUUCAGCCAACUACUGGUAUUGUAUGGGAAAAGCUCAAUGUCACAUUUGUAGCUUCUGUCUAAGCUUACAUUAAUACAGUUAUUAGCUGUUGCUGCCUUUUGAUAGAUGUUUUGUUGCUUAAAAGACACAUUAAGCACGUGCACUGGUACUGUGAGAUUAGUGAGUCAUCGUCAUAGGAGGCUGCUUAUGUUUGCCCUACAGUGCAAUACGGUUCUGAGUUUCCUGCACCUUCAAUCAUGUCCAGUCAUCUAAUAUAAUGCAUCAAUCAUCUUAUAAGUCAGCUAUAAACAUGACCCAUUAAAAUUGAAGCAAACAAGGAUGUUGCUACAAUGCUAUUCUCAACUGUCCCUAUUUUUGUGUUGAGGGGUUACCCAUGAUUUCAGGAUUGAGAUCCCUACAGUUCAUGACCUCAACAUGAACUCCCACCCCUCCUCCCUCUCUCACAACACUCAGACAUGAACGCAUGGAAAUGCAUAUUUAUCUUUUCCCUUCUUCCCUGGUAUACAUUGCCCUUAUAUCAUACUCUUUUCUUGAGGUCACUUGUGGGGCUGUUGAUGGGAAGCUAAGUAACAAGAUGCUUUAAAUUAAGUUUUUCAAUUAAAUUGCCAGGACAAGAAAAUUGUUGAACAUAGAUUUGAUAGCUUGGUGAUGUCAUUAGCUGUAAUUGAUUAUUGACCUGGUUGGCUGGGUACAGAUUGGUCCAUAACCUUAUGGGUGCACAGCUUGAGUGAGACCUGUGAUGACAGAGCGUCAUGGUGGAUGCUUCUAUAGGCACUCUUGGUUUGGUAUCCUGGCUAGUUCACAUUUUCAUCUUGUUUUUAUUGCUAAUUAUGUGCCUUAGGACUUUCUUCUUUUUUAAGGGCUUAUUUAUCAGAAUUUCCUGUAUUUUAAUCUACAAAAGAAAAUUAUAUUUGCUUGUAGAUGAUAAAAAGUUGUUUUACGUUUGUUUUUAUUUGAAACGAGUACGUACCGAUACUAUUGAUAUUCAGCCAACUACUGGUAUUGUAUGGGAAAAGCUCAAUGUCACAUUUGUAGCUUCUGUCUAAGCUUACAUUAAUACAGAUAUUAGCUGUUGCUGCCUUUUGAUAGAUGUUUUGUUGCUUAAAAGACACAUUAAGCACGUGCACUGGUACUGUGAGAUUAGUGAGUCAUCGUCAUAGGAGGCUGCUUAUGUUUGCCCUACAGUGCAAUACGGUUCUGAGUUUCCUGCACCUUCAAUCAUGUCCAGUCAUCUAAUAUAAUGCAUCAAUCAUCUUAUAAGUCAGCUAUAAACAUGACCCAUCAAAAUUGAAGCAAACAAGGAUGUUGCUACAAUGCUAUUCUCAACUGUCCCUAUUUUUGUGUUGAGGGGUUACCCAUGAUUUCAGGAUUGAGAUCCCUACAGUUCAUGACCUCAACAUGAACUCCCACCCCUCC